GAUGAACGCUGGCGGCGUGCCUAAUACAUGCAAGUCGAGCGAACGGACGAGAAGCUUGCUUCUCUGAUGUUAGCGGCGGACGGGUGAGUAACACGUGGAUAACCUACCUAUAAGACUGGGAUAACUUCGGGAAACCGGAGCUAAUACCGGAUAAUAUUUUGAACCGCAUGGUUCAAAAGUGAAAGACGGUCUUGCUGUAACUAAUAGAUGGAUCCGCGCUGCAUUAGCUAGUUGGUAAGGUAACGGCUUACCAAGGCAACGAUGCAUAGCCGACCUGAGAGGGUGAUCGGCCACACUGGAACUGAGACACGGUCCAGACUCCUACGGGAGGCAGCAGUAGGGAAUCUUCCGCAAUGGGCGAAAGCCUGACGGAGCAGCGCCGCGUGAGUGAUGAAGGUCUUCGGAUCGUAAAACUCUGUUAUUAGGGAAGAACAUAUGUGUAAGUAACUGUGCACAUCUUGACGGUACCUAAUCAGAAAGCCACGGCUAACUACGUG
RNAcentral lists this ribosomal RNA (497 nucleotides) under uncultured bacterium. Its description in RNAcentral is "partial 16S ribosomal RNA". It matches the Rfam family "Bacterial small subunit ribosomal RNA", at positions 28 to 507 of the family's 1533-position model. The record is from RNAcentral.